CAUGCAAGUCGAGCGGGGAAGAGUAGCUUGCUACUUGACCUAGCGGCGGACGGGUGAGUAAUGCUUAGGAAUCUGCCUAUUAGUGGGGGACAACAUCUCGAAAGGGAUGCUAAUACCGCAUACGUCCUACGGGAGAAAGCAGGGGACCUUCGGGCCUUGCGCUAAUAGAUGAGCCUAAGUCGGAUUAGCUAGUUGGUGGGGUAAAGGCCUACCAAGGCGACGAUCUGUAGCGGGUCUGAGAGGAUGAUCCGCCACACUGGGACUGAGACACGGCCCAGACUCCUACGGGAGGCAGCAGUGGGGAAUAUUGGACAAUGGGGGGAACCCUGAUCCAGCCAUGCCGCGUGUGUGAAGAAGGCCUUUUGGUUGUAAAGCACUUUAAGCGAGGAGGAGGCUACCGAGAUUAAUACUCUUGGAUAGUGGACGUUACUCGCAGAAUAAGCACCGGCUAACUCUGUGCCAGCAGCCGCGGUAAUACAGAGGGUGCAAGCGUUAAUCGGAUUUACUGGGCGUAAAGCGCGCGUAGGUGGCCAAUUAAGUCAAAUGUGAAAUCCCCGAGCUUAACUUGGGAAUUGCAUUCGAUACUGGUUGGCUAGAGUAUGGGAGAGGAUGGUAGAAUUCCAGGUGUAGCGGUGAAAUGCGUAGAGAUCUGGAGGAAUACCGAUGGCGAAGGCAGCCAUCUGGCCUAAUACUGACACUGAGGUGCGAAAGCAUGGGGAGCAAACAGGAUUAGAUACCCUGGUAGUCCAUGCCGUAAACGAUGUCUACUAGCCGUUGGGGCCUUUGAGGCUUUAGUGGCGCAGCUAACGCGAUAAGUAGACCGCCUGGGGAGUACGGUCGCAGACUAAAACUCAAAUGAAUUGACGGGGGCCCGCACAAGCGGUGGAGCAUGU
This 893-nucleotide ribosomal RNA is filed under the name uncultured bacterium. RNAcentral describes it as "bacterial SSU rRNA". It matches the Rfam family "Bacterial small subunit ribosomal RNA", at positions 54 to 942 of the family's 1533-position model. The record is from RNAcentral.